Molecule: ribosomal RNA, 513 nt
Filed under: uncultured bacterium
Lineage: Bacteria
Description: bacterial SSU rRNA
Rfam family: Bacterial small subunit ribosomal RNA
Source: RNAcentral
GAUCCUGGCUCAGGAUGAACGCUAGCUACAGGCUUAACACAUGCAAGUCGAGGGGCAGCAUGUGGUGCUGCAACCAAUGAUGGCGACCGGCGCACGGGUGAGUAACGCGUAUCCAACCUUCCCCUUAGUAGAGGAUAGCCCGGCGAAAGUCGGAUUAAUACUCUAUGUUCUUCAAUGCGGACAUCUAAGUUGAAGCAAAGAUUUAUCGCUAAGGGAUGGGGAUGCGUCUGAUUAGGUUGCAGGCGGGGUAACGGCCCACCUGGCCUACGAUCAGUAGGGGUUCUGAGAGGAAGGUCCCCCACACUGGUACUGAGACACGGACCAGACUCCUACGGGAGGCAGCAGUGAGGAAUAUUGGUCAAUGGGCGCGAGCCUGAACCAGCCAAGUAGCGUGCCAGGACGACUGCCCUAUGGGUUGUAAACUGUCUUUUAUCAGGGAAUAAAGUGAGGCACGCGUGCCUUUUUGUAUGUACCUGGUGAAUAAGGACCGGCUAAUUCCGUGCCAGCCGCAGC